Long non-coding RNA from Daucus carota subsp. sativus, 1889 nucleotides. RefSeq lists it as uncharacterized. NCBI's taxonomy places the organism in Eukaryota, Viridiplantae, Streptophyta, Magnoliopsida, Apiales, Apiaceae. The record is from RefSeq and is a predicted model, not a curated record. The transcript is spliced from 4 exons.
CUUCCAAAAGACCGAUCUUACCCUUCCUUCUCUUUACAGCUUUACUUACAGUUAGACUACAUGUGUAUUUUAGACAUUUUACUUAUCCUUGGAUCAUCCACCUACAAACGGGUAGAACCCAUAUCUAUUUCAGUUCUUUUUAGUGCUUGGGUUGGAUUAUCCGUGACCAUACGGGUUAUAACAGUUUUAAAAAAGCACGUAACUUUCAUCUUAUUUUUCUCCAACUGCCACCUUUCACGCACAACACUAUUAUCUUCUCUAUCAGUUUGAAAUUCAAAUUCCUUGAUUCGUGGAGGCUUGAUUUGAUACCUUCCAAUCGUAGCCUUGGUUGCAACACUUUCCGGUGGCGUCCUUGCCGGCUUCUUCAUCAACAUGUCCGGUUGGUUAUUUGCCUUCCACAGUUCACAUUUAUGUCAUCUUCCUUCACGCACUGAUGAUCUCAACGUCCACUCCGUCUUUUGUCUCCUUCCGGGAGUAAUGGUUAGUCUACUGCAUACGAUCUUCAUUAUCUUCUAAUAAUGUUAUCUGUUUGUUCUUUGUUGUCAGAAAAACGUCGGCCUGAGCAACGGUGACGUGCAGAUCAGAGGCACAAUUUCAGAAAACUCGAAUUCCAACAUUCGAACAUCAGGUUUUACGAUCAAUCUUUCUUGGCUUCACAUUCUAUGAUGUGUCUCAUUGGAGCAUCAUGCAGGUUAUGUAUUUGAUUAAUGAGUAUAUACGUUUAAACUGUGAUGCCAAUUUAUUGUGUUUUGGAAAUCUGCACGGCGUGUAUAACAGGAUUGUCUAGCCUUAACACACCUUCUCUGUAUAAAGCUCAUUCCCAAUAUGCUUUCAGUAGCGGUCUAUCGUCAUCGCCAAGUCACGUGAACAUCUGGUGUUUUAGAUUGUUAACUCCAUGUUUAUGGUUGAUGUUCAAAUUGGUGCAUGGUUGCGUAACCCGAUCCUCUGUCCAUUGUAUUGAAUAGGAUAUGAAAGCAUAGUCACGGAUGAAGGCUCAUUUUUGACUCCUCCGCAGUGGAAGCUACGUGCUCUACAAUCUUCAGGAAAUACCUAUAACAGACCUCUCUCUGGGUAGGAUUUUGGAACAAAGAGCAAGUAAAAUUAAUAAGCAGCAUUCCCUUCCCUCAAGUACGCACGUAGAGACAUAUAGCAACAUACUCCAUCAGAUGUAUGCUCUUCUGGUAGAUCAUUCCAGCUGCAUGAUCAUCUCGCACCCAGGAAUGGCGUGGCGACGGGGUCCUACCACAUUUCCUGCAAAGAUAGAAGGCUUGCCACAUUUCUUGGUGACUUGAAGUACGCUUACAGCUUUGGUCACAAUCCGACGAGACUUGCUUCUGCACUUUCUUGCAGCAUGGAUCUAACUUGAUGUAGAGUAGGUGAUGAGGGAAGACUAGGAUUACAGGUGGCAAGCAUUCCGGAAAAUCUGGGAUGACUAAGUGGAAGCAGGUGACGAAGAGGUGAUGAGGGAGUGACGUGGCUGCCGUAGGGAUAUGGGGUUACGGCUGGAGUUGAGAGGAGUGAGCUUCCGGGAGGAACUGUAGGGAGGUCUGCUACAGGGAGGGAAACCAUGCAGGGUAGUACGCCGUAGGGCAUAAGGUAUGGAGGGUUGUAAGACAUAUUGGAACGUACUUGCUAUCACCCAUAGUAGCUUCUUUUGUUGCUCUGGUCCUAGGAUUUUCAAGUUGGUGCGUGGCAUACUUACGGCAUCAUUGUACAGGGGUGCUAACGGCUUUUUCGCAGGCUGUAUGGAUAUAUAGCCGUAGCCAUGACAGUUUUAUAGGUUAUCAAUAUCAUUGAUGGGAGCAGGUUUUCUGUUGAAUGAUAUAUCCAGACCGACCCAUUUUUAUAAUAUAGUCCAUAAGGUUUUUAAAGGAAAGAAUUUUAAAGUA